UACGUAGGGGGCUAGCGUUGUCCGGAAUCAUUGGGCGUAAAGCGCGUGUAGGCGGUCCGGUAAGUCCGCUGUGAAAGUCGGGGGCUCAACCCUCGAAUGCCGGUGGAUACUGUCGGGCUAGAGUGCGGAAGAGGCGAGUGGAAUUCCUGGUGUAGCGGUGAAAUGCGCAGAUAUCAGGAGGAACACCAAUGGCGAAGGCAGCUCGCUGGGGCGUGACUGACGCUGAGACGCGAAAGCGUGGGGAGCAAACAGG
This 253-nucleotide ribosomal RNA is filed under the name uncultured bacterium. Its description in RNAcentral is "partial 16S ribosomal RNA". It matches the Rfam family "Bacterial small subunit ribosomal RNA", at positions 524 to 776 of the family's 1533-position model. The record is from RNAcentral.